RNAcentral lists this ribosomal RNA (581 nucleotides) under Trichoderma viride. RNAcentral's name for it is "eukaryotic LSU rRNA". The stretch from base 189 to 342 matches the Rfam family "5.8S ribosomal RNA". Lineage: Eukaryota; Fungi; Ascomycota; Sordariomycetes; Hypocreales; Hypocreaceae. The record is from RNAcentral.
GGGGGGCUCGGGGUCACUCCCAACCCAAUGUGAACCAUACCAAACUGUUGCCUCGGCGGGGUCACGCCCCGGGUGCGUCGCAGCCCCGGAACCAGGCGCCCGCCGGAGGGACCAACCAAACUCUUUUCUGUAGUCCCCUCGCGGACGUUAUUUCUUACAGCUCUGAGCAAAAAUUCAAAAUGAAUCAAAACUUUCAACAACGGAUCUCUUGGUUCUGGCAUCGAUGAAGAACGCAGCGAAAUGCGAUAAGUAAUGUGAAUUGCAGAAUUCAGUGAAUCAUCGAAUCUUUGAACGCACAUUGCGCCCGCCAGUAUUCUGGCGGGCAUGCCUGUCCGAGCGUCAUUUCAACCCUCGAACCCCUCCGGGGGGUCGGCGUUGGGGACCUCGGGAGCCCCUAAGACGGGAUCCCGGCCCCGAAAUACAGUGGCGGUCUCGCCGCAGCCUCUCCUGCGCAGUAGUUUGCACAACUCGCACCGGGAGCGCGGCGCGUCCACGUCCGUAAAACACCCAACUUCUGAAAUGUUGACCUCGGAUCAGGUAGGAAUACCCGCUGAACUUAAGCAUAUCAAUAAGCGGAGGAA